CCUACGGGGUGCUGCAGUGGGGAAUAUUGGACAAUGGGCGAAAGCCUGAUCCAGCCAUGCCGCGUGUGUGAAGAAGGCCUUCGGGUUGUAAAGCACUUUCAGUGGGGAAGAAAGCCUUGGGGCUAAUACCCUCGAGGAAGGACAUCACCCACAGAAGAAGCACCGGCUAACUCCGUGCCAGCAGCCGCGGUAAUACGGAGGGUGCGAGCGUUAAUCGGAAUUACUGGGCGUAAAGCGCGCGUAGGCGGUCUGAUAAGCCGGUUGUGAAAGCCCCGGGCUCAACCUGGGAACGGCAUCCGGAACUGUCAGGCUAGAGUGCAGGAGAGGAAGGUAGAAUUCCCGGUGUAGCAGUGAAAUGCGUAGAGAUCGGGAGGAAUACCAGUGGCGAAGGCGGCCUUCUGGACUGACACUGACGCUGAGGUGCGAAAGCGUGGGUAGCAAACAGGAUUAGAUACCCGUGUAGUC
Molecule: ribosomal RNA, 465 nt
Filed under: Vreelandella stevensii
Lineage: Bacteria; Pseudomonadati; Pseudomonadota; Gammaproteobacteria; Oceanospirillales; Halomonadaceae
Description: partial 16S ribosomal RNA
Rfam family: Bacterial small subunit ribosomal RNA
Source: RNAcentral